Molecule: long non-coding RNA, 558 nt
Filed under: Malus domestica (apple)
Lineage: Eukaryota; Viridiplantae; Streptophyta; Magnoliopsida; Rosales; Rosaceae
Description: long non-coding RNA (MDOM_LNC010403)
Source: RNAcentral
CGUGCUAUAGUGAUUUGUUCCGGCUCAUCAUUGAUCCUUCUACUUCAAUCUCUUGCAGUAUUUGCCCCCCAUACAGGAGUGGAAUUCAACCCUUGCAUUUGGAUGGUUCAUCACUUCUUGGUGACUGGAGACCCAGCUCUAACAACAGCUGAAGAUGGCUACUCGAGAGCAAUACUAGGUAAGCAAUUAGGCAAAGGUUUCAGGUAGUCGGUUCCUUACCCGAAGUUUUGAGUGGAAGUUCCGACAUAUUGCUUUCUUUAUCCUUGUCUUUACAGGUAAGAACAAGAACAAAGAAAAGGACAGGGAGAUUGCAUGAUAUGAGAUACUCUUGCUUUCUACCCUGAUGGUAUGAGAUACUUUUGCUUUGGUGUCAUUCUUUUGCAGAGGUAUUCUGAUGCGUAAAUAUAUAAGCACACAAAUUAAACCCUCUUUUUGUUAAUUGUAGUAAAGUAUGUAAGUAGGGAUCGUUCUGGACCGGGGAUUAUGAGGGAUUGCUAAACACUUGAAAACUGACUUAGAAACGUAAAAACAAAGUUUAAAACACUAGAUUAGACUCAA